ACAGUCACGAAGGAUAUGUACCAAGCAGUUACCUGGUGGAAAAAUCACCAGACAACCUGCAAAUAUAUGAAUGGUACAAUAAGAAUAUCAGCAGAAGCAAAGCAGAAGUACUCCUCAAAGAUGAGGGUAAGGAAGGUGCCUUCAUGGUGAGAGAUUCGAGGCAGCCUGGCAUGUACACAGUCUCCGUUUUCACCAAGGCAUUAAGG
This 206-nucleotide long non-coding RNA is filed under the name Gopherus agassizii (Agassiz's desert tortoise). RNAcentral's name for it is "lncRNA (ENSGAGG00000016900.1)". Lineage: Eukaryota; Metazoa; Chordata; Testudines; Testudinidae. The record is from RNAcentral.